RNAcentral lists this ribosomal RNA (484 nucleotides) under uncultured bacterium. RNAcentral describes it as "bacterial SSU rRNA". It matches the Rfam family "Bacterial small subunit ribosomal RNA", at positions 28 to 507 of the family's 1533-position model. The record is from RNAcentral.
GACGAACGCUGGCGGCGUGCUUAAACACAUGCAAGUCGAACGGUAAGGCCCUUCGGGGUACACGAGUGGCGAACGGGUGAGUAACACGUGGGUGAUCUGCCCUGCACUUCGGGAUAAGCCUGGGAAACUGGGUCUAAUACCGGAUAGGACCAUGGACUUCACGGUUUGUGGUGGAAAGCUUUUGCGGUGUGGGAUGGGCCCGCGGCCUAUCAGCUUGUUGGUGGGGUAAUGGCCUACCAAGGCGACGACGGGUAGCCGGCCUGAGAGGGUGUCCGGCCACACUGGGACUGAGAUACGGCCCAGACUCCUACGGGAGGCAGCAGUGGGGAAUAUUGCACAAUGGGCGCAAGCCUGAUGCAGCGACGCCGCGUGAGGGAUGACGGCCUUCGGGUUGUAAACUGCUUUUGUUACGGACGAAACGGUCUGCCCUAAUACGGCAGGCUAAUGACGGUACCGUAAGGAAUAAGCACCGGCUAACUACGUG